GCCCGAUUAGCUCAGCUGGUUAGAGCGUCGUACUAAUACCGGGAAACCCGUAUAAGGUAUGCGAAGGUCAACAGUUCAAUCCUGUUAUUGGGCA
This 94-nucleotide transfer RNA is filed under the name Chaetomium fimeti. Its description in RNAcentral is "tRNA-Ile". Lineage: Eukaryota; Fungi; Ascomycota; Sordariomycetes; Sordariales; Chaetomiaceae. RNAcentral also lists the same sequence under 2 other names. The record is from RNAcentral.